RNAcentral lists this ribosomal RNA (1216 nucleotides) under uncultured Pleosporales. RNAcentral describes it as "eukaryotic LSU rRNA". The stretch from base 582 to 1216 matches the Rfam family "Eukaryotic large subunit ribosomal RNA", at positions 1 to 649 of the family's 3401-position model. The record is from RNAcentral. Lineage: Eukaryota; Fungi; Ascomycota; Dothideomycetes; Pleosporales.
AAGGAUCAUUAUCAUUCGUGAUAGCAACCUCUGUGGCUCGAGGCAGGCUGCUCGUUCAGUCCUGUCAAGAGCGCACAUGGCGGGUGCAGUAGCGGCCGUUUCACGCGGUAAGGCUCGCAAGAGCCUGUACGCACUGCAUGUCUGAAUCCUUAUCUCUAUACGUACUUCUUGUUCUCCUUCGGUGGGGUGACCUGCCGUUGGAACCGAAACAACACCCUUUUGCAUCUAGCAUUACCUGUUCUGAUACAAAUAAUCGUUACAACUUUCAACAAUGGACCUCUUGGCUCUGGCAUCGAUGAAGAACGCAGCGAAAUGCGAUAAGUAGUGUGAAUUGCAGAAUUCAGUGAAUCAUCGAAUCUUUGAACGCACAUUGCGCCCCUUGGUAUUCCAUGGGGCAUGCCUGUUCGAGCGUCAUCUACACCCUCAAGCUCUGCUUGGUGUUGGGCGUCUGUCCCCGCCUCUGCGCGUGGACUCGCCCCAAAUUCAUUGGCAGCGGUGUCUUUUUGCCCCAGUCUUGCGCAGCACAUUGCGCUUGCAGAACUGUGGCGGCCCGCGAUCCAGCAAGCUCCUUUCACCGUCUUUGACCUCGGAUCAGGUAGGGAUACCCGCUGAACUUAAGCAUAUCAAUAAGCGGAGGAAAAGAAACCAACAGGGAUUGCCCUAGUAACGGCGAGUGAAGCGGCAACAGCUCAAAUUUGAAAUCUGGCCCUCUUUGGGGGUCCGAGUUGUAAUUUGCAGAGGGUGCUUUGGCAUUGGCGGCGGUCUAAGUUCCUUGGAACAGGACAUCGCAGAGGGUGAGAAUCCCGUACGUGGGCGCCUGCCUUUGCCGUGUAAAGCCCCUUCGACGAGUCGAGUUGUUUGGGAAUGCAGCUCUAAAUGGGAGGUAAAUUUCUUCUAAAGCUAAAUACCGGCCAGAGACCGAUAGCGCACAAGUAGAGUGAUCGAAAGAUGAAAAGCACUUUGGAAAGAGAGUCAAAUAGCACGUGAAAUUGUUGAAAGGGAAGCGCUUGCAGCCAGACUUGCCCGCAGUUGCUCACCCAGGCUCCGGCCUGGGGCACUCUUCUGCGAGCAGGCCAGCAUCAGUUUGGGCGGUUGGAUAAAGGCCUCUGUCACGUAUCUCCCUUCGGGGUGACCUUAUAGGGGAGGCGCAAUGCAACCAGCCCGGACUGAGGUCCGCGCAUCUGCUAGGAUGCUGGCGUAAUGGCUGUAAGCGGCC